Molecule: ribosomal RNA, 754 nt
Filed under: uncultured bacterium
Lineage: Bacteria
Description: bacterial SSU rRNA
Rfam family: Bacterial small subunit ribosomal RNA
Source: RNAcentral
UGCAGUCUGAGUACACUUGAGGUAGCGAAUGUGUAAUGUAGCGUGAAAUGCUUAGAUAUUACACAGAACACCAAUUGCGUAGCAGCUUACUAAGUUGUAACUGACGCUGAUGCACGAAAGCGUGGGGAUCGAACAGGAUUAGAUACCCUGGUAGUCCACGCUGUAAACGAUGAUCACUCGUUGUUGGCGAUAAACAGCCAGCGACUAAGCGAAAGCAUUAAGUGAUCCACCUGGGGAGUACGGUCGCAAGACUGAAACUCAAAGGAAUUGACGGGGGCCCGCACAAGCGGAGGAACAUGUGGUUUAAUUCGAUGAUACGCGAGGAACCUUACCUGGGCUUAAAUGUAGAACGACGUUCCGGGAAAUCGGAAUUCCCUUCGGGGCGUUUUGCAAGGUGCUGCAUGGUUGUCGUCAGCUCGUGCCGUGAGGUGUCGGGUUAAGUCCCAUGACGAGCGCAACCCUUAUCGUUAGUUGCCAGCGGGUCAUGCCGGGAACUCUAACGAAACUGCCGGUGUAAACCGUGAGGAAGGUGGGGAUGACGUCAAAUCAGCACGGCCCUUAUGUCCAGGGCUACACACGUGUUACAAUGGUCGGUACAGAGGGCAGCUACCACGCGAGUGGAUGCAAAUCUCGAAAGCCGAUCUCAGUUCGGAUUGGAGUCUGCAACUCGACUCCAUGAAGCUGGAUUCGCUAGUAAUCGCGCAUCAGCCAUGGCGCGGUGAAUACGUUCCCGGGCCUUGUACACACCGCCCGU